CAUCUUCUAAAUUGAGCCUCCGGUCAUACUAGUUUUGUGCUUGGAACCUUGCUUCAAGAAGAUCCCUAAGCUGUAGAACAUUUUAACGUUGAUGCCACAACGCAGAUUGAUGCCUUGUAGAUGGAGCUUGCAGAUGGAGCCCCGUGACCUCUCACCUACCCACCUGUUUGCCUGCCUUCUUGUGCGUUUCUCGGAGAAGUUCUUAGCCUGAUGAAAUAACUUGGGGCGUUGAAGAGCUGUUUAAUUUUAAAUGCCUUAGACUGGGGAUAUAUUAGAGGAAGCAGAUUGUCAAAUUAAGGGUGUCAUUGUGUUGUGCUAAACGCUGGGAGGGUACAAGUUGGUCAUUCCUAAAUCUGUGUGUGAGAAAUGGCAGGUCUAGUUUGGGCAUUGUGAUUGCAUUGCAGAUUACUAGGAGAAGGGAAUGGUGGGUACACCGGUAGUGCUCUUUUGUUCUUGCUUCGUUUUUUUAAACUUGAACUUUACUUCGUUAGAUUUCAUAAUACUUUCUUGGAAUUCUCUGGGGCUUUGGGGAAUUUAGUGCGUGGGUGAGCCAAGAAAAUACUAAUUAAUAAUAGUAAGUUGUUAGUGUUGGUUAAGUUGUUGCUUGGAAGUGAGAAGUUGCUUAGAAACUUUCCAAAGUGCUUAGAACUUUAAGUGCAAACAGACAAACUAACAAACAAAAAUUGUUUUGCUUUGCUACAAGGUGGGGAAGACUGAAGAAGUGUUAACUGAAAACAGGUGACACAGAGUCACCAGUUUUCCGAGAACCAAAGGGAGGGGUGUGUGAUGCCAUCUCACAGGCAGGGGAAAUGUCUUUACCAGCUUCCUCCUGGUGGCCAAGACAGCCUGUUUCAGAGGGUUGUUUUGUUUGGGGUGUGGGUGUUAUCAAGUGAAUUAGUCACUUGAAAGAUGGGCGUCAGACUUGCAUACGCAGCAGAUCAGCAUCCUUCGCUGCCCCUUAGCAACUUAGGUGGUUGAUUUGAAACUGUGAAGGUGUGAUUUUUUCAGGAGCUGGAAGUCUUAGAAAAGCCUUGUAAAUGCCUAUAUUGUGGGCUUUUAACGUAUUUAAGGGACCACUUAAGACGAGAUUAGAUGGGCUCUUCUGGAUUUGUUCCUCAUUUGUCACAGGUGUCUUGUGAUUGAAAAUCAUGAGCGAAGUGAAAUUGCAUUGAAUUUCAAGGGAAUUUAGUAUGUAAAUCGUGCCUUAGAAACACAUCUGUUGUCUUUUCUGUGUUUGGUCGAUAUUAAUAAUGGCAAAAUUUUUGCCUAUCUAGUAUCUUCAAAUUGUAGUCUUUGUAACAACCAAAUAACCUUUUGUGGUCACUGUAAAAUUAAUAUUUGGUAGACAGAAUCCAUGUACCUUUGCUAAGGUUAGAAUGAAUAAUUUAUUGUAUUUUUAAUUUGAAUGUUUGUGCUUUUUAAAUGAGCCAAGACUAGAGGGGAAACUAUCACCUAAAAUCAGUUUGGAAAACAAGACCUAAAAAGGGAAGGGGAUGGGGAUUGUGGGGAGAGAGUGGGCGAGGUGCCUUUACUACAUGUGUGAUCUGAAAACCCUGCUUGGUUCUGAGCUGCGUCUAUUGAAUUGGUAAAGUAAUACCAAUGGCUUUUUAUCAUUUCCUUCUUCCCUUUAAGUUUCACUUGAAAUUUUAAAAAUCAUGGUUAUUUUUAUCGUUGGGAUCUUUCUGUCUUCUGGGUUCCAUUUUUUAAAUGUUUAAAAAUAUGUUGACAUGGUAGUUCAGUUCUUAACCAAUGACUUGGGGAUGAUGCAAACAAUUACUGUCGUUGGGAUUUAGAGUGUAUUAGUCACGCAUGUAUGGGGAAGUAGUCUCGGGUAUGCUGUUGUGAAAUUGAAACUGUAAAAGUAGAUGGUUGAAAGUACUGGUAUGUUGCUCUGUAUGGUAAGAACUAAUUCUGUUACGUCAUGUACAUAAUUACUAAUCACUUUUCUUCCCCUUUACAGCACAAAUAAAGUUUGAGUUCUAAACUCA
Molecule: long non-coding RNA, 1988 nt
Filed under: Homo sapiens (human)
Lineage: Eukaryota; Metazoa; Chordata; Mammalia; Primates; Hominidae
Description: non-protein coding NEAT1:14
Source: RNAcentral